GAUUGAACGCUGGCGGCAGGCCUAACACAUGCAAGUCGAGCGGAUGAAGGGAGCUUGCUCCUGGAUUCAGCGGCGGACGGGUGAGUAAUGCCUAGGAAUCUGCCUGGUAGUGGGGGAUAACGUCCGGAAACGGGCGCUAAUACCGCAUACGUCCUGAGGGAGAAAGUGGGGGAUCUUCGGACCUCACGCUAUCAGAUGAGCCUAGGUCGGAUUAGCUAGUUGGUGGGGUAAAGGCCUACCAAGGCGACGAUCCGUAACUGGUCUGAGAGGAUGAUCAGUCACACUGGAACUGAGACACGGCCCAGACUCCUACGGGAGGCAGCAGUGGGGAAUAUUGGACAAUGGGCGAAAGCCUGAUCCAGCCAUGCCGCGUGUGUGAAGAAGGUCUUCGGAUUGUAAAGCACUUUAAGUUGGGAGGAAGGGCAGUAAGUUAAUACCUUGCUGUUUUGACGUUACCAACAGAAUAAGCACCGGCUAACUUCGUGCCAGCAGCCGCGGUAAUACGAAGGGUGCAAGCGUUAAUCGGAAUUACUGGGCGUAAAGCGCGCGUAGGUGGUUCAGCAAGUUGGAUGUGAAAUCCCCGGGCUCAACCUGGGAACUGCAUCCAAAACUACUGAGCUAGAGUACGGUAGAGGGUGGUGGAAUUUCCUGUGUAGCGGUGAAAUGCGUAGAUAUAGGAAGGAACACCAGUGGCGAAGGCGACCACCUGGACUGAUACUGACACUGAGGUGCGAAAGCGUGGGGAGCAAACAGGAUUAGAUACCCUGGUAGUCCACGCCGUAAACGAUGUCGACUAGCCGUUGGGAUCCUUGAGAUCUUAGUGGCGCAGCUAACGCGAUAAGUCGACCGCCUGGGGAGUACGGCCGCAAGGUUAAAACUCAAAUGAAUUGACGGGGGCCCGCACAAGCGGUGGAGCAUGUGGUUUAAUUCGAAGCAACGCGAAGAACCUUACCUGGCCUUGACAUGCUGAGAACUUUCCAGAGAUGGAUUGGUGCCUUCGGGAACUCAGACACAGGUGCUGCAUGGCUGUCGUCAGCUCGUGCCGUGAGAUGUUGGGUUAAGUCCCGUAACGAGCGCAACCCUUGUCCUUAGUUACCAGCACCUCGGGUGGGCACUCUAAGGAGACUGCCGGUGACAAACCGGAGGAAGGUGGGAUGACGUCAAGUCAUCAUGGCCCUUACGGCCAGGGCUACACACGUGCUACAAUGGUCGGUACAAAGGGUUGCCAAGCCGCGAGGUGGAGCUAAUCCCAUAAAACCGAUCGUAGUCCGGAUCGCAGUCUGCAACUCGACUGCGUGAAGUCGGAAUCGCUAGUAAUCGUGAAUCAGAAUGUCACGGUGAAUACGUUCCCGGGCCUUGUACACACCGCCCGUCACACCAUGGGAGUGGGUUGCUCCAGAAGUAGCUAGUCUAACCGCAAGGGGGACGGUUACCACGGAGUGAUUCAUGACUGGGGUGAAGUCGUACAAGGUAACCAAGGGGAA
RNAcentral lists this ribosomal RNA (1484 nucleotides) under uncultured bacterium. RNAcentral describes it as "partial 16S ribosomal RNA". It matches the Rfam family "Bacterial small subunit ribosomal RNA". The record is from RNAcentral.